UGAUUGUGAUCUUGAACCAAAUUUUAUGAUGAAUUAUGACAUUUUUGAUGGAUUAGUUAGUUGAUUGUGAUCUUGAGGAUAUAGUUAAAGAUGUUUGAUGUAUUAAUUAAUCUUCAACAAUUUGGAUUUAGUUAGGUGAUUGUGAUAUUGAACCAAAUUUCUCUGUGAUUUAUGAGAUUUUAGUUGGAUUUAGUUAGGUGGUUGUGUCUUGGGAAGAUGGUCAAAGAUGUUAGGUGGAUUAUGAGAUUUUGGGUCUAAUAGAUGAGCAUGGUGAUUAUUACAUUGGUGGAUAUAUGAAUUUUUAAUAAAUUUGGAAUAAUUUGGAUUUAGUUAGGCGACUGUGCUCUUGAACCAACCUUUAUGGUUGAUUAUGAGAUUUUGUUCGGCUGCGCCAUGCCUCUUCGUCGAGGAGCAUGCGCAGUGCAGUGGUGCGGCAGCUCGUGUGGCGUGCAGUGGCUUUAGAAGGCGGGGCGCCGACACCUGCAGCUUGUGCACCAUGGCGACUCCACGCAUCUUCUGCGCCCUGCAACCCUCUCCUUGCGGGGCAAAACAGGUGAUUCAGGUUUGCCUCCUCCUCCUCUCUCCCCCCCCCCUCCCCCUCCCUUUUUUGUUUCAUUCUGCAGCUUCAUUCAAGCAUAUAUUUUAAAUUGGUACAUAUUCCAGGUAGUUAGCUUAUUAUGGACUAUAACUACAUUUGAUGUUAGAACUCUGAUACUAAUUUAUGUUCUUGUUGCAUAGGUGAAUGGUGCUUUAGCUUCAAUGACCAAUUUUAUUAAAAAAGGGCAGCCCCAGUGCAUGUAGCUCCCGCUUGCGCAGGGUCUGGGGAAGGGUCCGACCACUUUGGGUCUAUUG
This 852-nucleotide long non-coding RNA is filed under the name Triticum aestivum (bread wheat). RNAcentral's name for it is "long non-coding RNA (TAES_LNC025776)". Lineage: Eukaryota; Viridiplantae; Streptophyta; Magnoliopsida; Poales; Poaceae. The record is from RNAcentral.